CCUUCGGGUCUAGUGGCGCACGGGUGCGUAACGCGUGGGAAUCUACCCUUUGCUACGGAAUAACUCAGAGAAAUUUGUGCUAAUACCGUAUAAUGUCGCAAGACCAAAGAUUUAUCGGCAGAGGACGAGCCCGCGUAAGAUUAGCUUGUUGGUGGGGUAAAGGCCUACCAAGGCGACGAUCUUUAGCUGGUCUGAGAGGAUGAUCAGCCACACUGGGACUGAGACACGGCCCAG
Molecule: ribosomal RNA, 234 nt
Filed under: uncultured bacterium
Lineage: Bacteria
Description: partial 16S ribosomal RNA
Rfam family: Bacterial small subunit ribosomal RNA
Source: RNAcentral